Molecule: ribosomal RNA, 609 nt
Filed under: Meyerozyma guilliermondii
Lineage: Eukaryota; Fungi; Ascomycota; Pichiomycetes; Serinales; Debaryomycetaceae
Description: eukaryotic LSU rRNA
Rfam family: 5.8S ribosomal RNA (bases 228-381)
Source: RNAcentral
UGGGGAGGAAAAAAAAAGUAACAAGGUUUCCGUAGGUGAACCUGCGGAAGGAUCAUUACAGUAUUCUUUUGCCAGCGCUUAACUGCGCGGCGAAAAACCUUACACACAGUGUCUUUUUGAUACAGAACUCUUGCUUUGGUUUGGCCUAGAGAUAGGUUGGGCCAGAGGUUUAACAAAACACAAUUUAAUUAUUUUUACAGUUAGUCAAAUUUUGAAUUAAUCUUCAAAACUUUCAACAACGGAUCUCUUGGUUCUCGCAUCGAUGAAGAACGCAGCGAAAUGCGAUAAGUAAUAUGAAUUGCAGAUUUUCGUGAAUCAUCGAAUCUUUGAACGCACAUUGCGCCCUCUGGUAUUCCAGAGGGCAUGCCUGUUUGAGCGUCAUUUCUCUCUCAAACCCCCGGGUUUGGUAUUGAGUGAUACUCUUAGUCGGACUAGGCGUUUGCUUGAAAAGUAUUGGCAUGGGUAGUACUAGAUAGUGCUGUCGACCUCUCAAUGUAUUAGGUUUAUCCAACUCGUUGAAUGGUGUGGCGGGAUAUUUCUGGUAUUGUUGGCCCGGCCUUACAACAACCAAACAAGUUGACCUCAAAUCAGGUAGAAUGCCCAAUUUUA